Molecule: long non-coding RNA, 2018 nt
Organism: Equus asinus (donkey)
Lineage: Eukaryota; Metazoa; Chordata; Mammalia; Perissodactyla; Equidae
Source: Ensembl
UACCACUCCACUUUUCAGAAGAGAUAAAUGAAGCUCAGAGAGGUGUGUUGACAUUUCACAGACACACAGUUAGUAGGUGAGAGACUCACCACUGUGCUAUGGAGGGGCUGGCACUCACCUGUGGAACAGCUGGUCCAGGACCUGUUGGGUGGUGGUGAAGGUGGCAAUGGUACGUGGAUGAGAAGGUGGUGAUGUAGGAGAUGUUUCCAUCCAGGAAGGCUGGUACCAGGGCCUCUGCUAGCUUCUCUGUUAUGCCUUGUCUUGGGGGUCUGCGUUGUGCAGGUCUCAUCCUGUGCCAGAGUUGACUCCUUUUCACACCGAGUGGACAAGGAGGGACAUAUAGUUAGUGGCAUCACCGUGAGCCACCAGGAAGAUCAGGGUUUGGAGUUCAGACCAGAAGCUCUCAUCACCUCAGGAACUUGGGCAAGAGGAGGGACAUGAGAGCCCACACAGAAAAAGGUUCUAGGCUUUAACAGCAUCAUUUGAUUUUGGGGAGAAUGAUAAACAACUGGUACCUUCCAGGCAUUUUUUGAGCUGAGAAACAAUAGCACGUCCCAGUAUUAAUAGCCUGUGUUAAGUGCAUUAUCCCAGUGAAUCAUCAACAAACUUCCCCACUGUAGAUAUUGGAAAACAGAGGGUUAGAGAUUUUAAGUGGCUGCUCCAGAUCACGCAGGUCAGAACCUAGGACUGUCCAUAGCAUGGGCUACAUGACAUUCCCUCUCAACCGGAGGCUUGGUCUGCUCCUGACAUGGAGGGGAAGGCUCUGGGGAAACUGCAUUCCUGGGAGGAUCCCAGGGCUGUCACCAGAUUCCAGUCUGGGUUCUGGGUCCACCCCAGUCACCUGGGAGUCCUGGAUGUGGAGACCCCUGUGUGCCCCUACUUACCCAAGAUCACGGUUGGCUGUUGUUGGUUGCCAGAUGCAUCUGCCCCUUGUCUAGGGAGGUGGAGUAGUUGAAGCCAUCAAUCGGCUCCUCGACGAUGUCCUGGGUGGAGCUCUACUAAGACAGAGCCUGGUGCUGGGCCAGUAAGCAUCAGGGACUUUCCACCCAAUUGGUGGUUCUAUGUUAUGGCAGACCUAGUAAACUAACAGGCUAUGAGGACACACUUCAGAUGUUCCCUGCAGCACUGCUGAAAUGGCAACAGAAUUGAAUCAUGUCAAGGUCCAACAACAUUGAAAGGUUGAAUUGCUGUGGCAAAUGACUUCCUUUAUGAGAUAUUGUGAAGUCACAUAAAGCCACAGCUCCUGAUCUGACAGACCUACAAUGAUUAGAUGUGUUCUGUGAGGUGACAAGUUGCAGAGAAAUGUAUAGAAUCAAGUAAUCCCACGCCCCUCCUUUGUGUAGAAGUCACCCUCUGAAGUGUGAUGAUUUGUAAGGCUUGGAGAAGCUCUGCAAGGACAGUGGAGCUGAUUGUUCCACAGGAUACCUGGAGUGAGUCAUUAAAAAAAUCAAAACAGUGGCAAAAUGCUGAUGCUCUUAAAAAGCGGCCUUGUGAAAAGUGAAAGCAACAUUAAAUAUUUUCUCUACCAUUCCAACAAGAAAGUGAGGAGUAUAUUUCUACUCUACCAUGUAGUGGACUGGUAGCUCCUGGAAGACAGAGACCACUUGGCCAUUUUCAGCACUGGACUUGGACACUCCAAGGUAACUAGGAGAGUUUGGAAGGACAUGCAUGUUUGUGCAGAAAAACUGGUGACCCUGAAAACAUGACUGGACAGGACAUCAAGCUCUCUUGUGAAUAUUCCUCUCAUCAUAACAAUGAAGAAAUUACUGAGCAUGAAGGAGAUAUGAAGUGAAUGAUAUUGACAUUGUUCAUUCAUUGUCCCUUUAGUAUUUAGGACAAAUGUUUUAAGAGAGGGAGCUAUUUUUUAGAGCAAUAGAAUCAUAUUUGUAGGUAGCAUUAGAAGUUUUCAUGCAGAAACAGGAAGAUAAUUCAGUAAUGAAACAAAAUACACUAACCAAUUCUUCACCUCAUUGAAUAAACCCCCUCACUCAUGGACACCAAUCUGCCAUGCUUUCAUA